GCUCACAAAUUUUGAAGAAAAUCGCACUUACUAAUUAGUUGAUGACCUCAAAGUUCCACUCGGAUGUCAGCCGGCCUCUCCUUUUCCAAUCUGAUGCUAAACUUCCAACACCAAUAUCUCUUUUUUCUACCAUUCGAUUGCUUCCAAAUUUUACUUGUAUAUAGAAUAUAAAGUCUUUUACUGAUAAAACCAAAAAUCUCUCCAAUUCAAUUAGCAAAUUGCUAGAUAUCUAAGAAAACCUUAUUGGUCCUCAAAAUCCUAAAUCCCGAGACCUUAGCUCACAAAAACCUUCAUAUGUAUCGAUCUAGUCAUUCGAUUGACCUCAAAUCUCUUACAUACAUUUACAACAAGCAUACCAAUAAGUUUCUAAAUUUUCACCUAUAAAAAUGCUACAAAAUUCACAAAAUCCAAAAAUUUGUAAACCGGUUUUAUUUCUCAAAGAUCUAAAUUCACAAAGAACAUCACUUGCUUUGAAAAUCCCU
RNAcentral lists this long non-coding RNA (482 nucleotides) under Physcomitrium patens. RNAcentral's name for it is "long non-coding RNA (PPAT_LNC014368)". The record is from RNAcentral. Lineage: Eukaryota; Viridiplantae; Streptophyta; Bryopsida; Funariales; Funariaceae.